RNAcentral lists this ribosomal RNA (424 nucleotides) under Fusobacteriota bacterium. RNAcentral describes it as "Fusobacteria bacterium partial 16S ribosomal RNA". It matches the Rfam family "Bacterial small subunit ribosomal RNA", at positions 355 to 776 of the family's 1533-position model. Lineage: Bacteria; Fusobacteriati; Fusobacteriota. The record is from RNAcentral.
UGAGGAAUAUUGGUCAAUGGGCGAGAGCCUGAACCAGCCAAGUCGCGUGAAGGAAAACAGUCCUAAGGAUUGUAAACUUCUUUUAUACGGGAAUAACGGGCGAUACGAGUAUUGCAUUGAAUGUACCGUAAGAAUAAGCAUCGGCUAACUCCGUGCCAGCAGCCGCGGUAAUACGGAGGAUGCGAGCGUUAUCCGGAUUUAUUGGGUUUAAAGGGUGCGUAGGUUGUUCGGUAAGUCAGCGGUGAAACCUGAGCGCUCAACGUUCAGCCUGCCGUUGAAACUGCCGGGCUUGAGUUCAGUGGCGGCAGGCGGAAUUCGUGGUGUAGUGGUGAAAUGCAUAGAUAUCACGAGGAACUCCGAUUGCGAAGGCAGCUUGCCAUACUGCGACUGACACUGAAGCACGAAGGCGUGGGUAUCAAACAGG